Hyla sarda is the source of this 1015-nucleotide long non-coding RNA. RefSeq lists it as uncharacterized. The record is from RefSeq and is a predicted model, not a curated record. The transcript is spliced from 4 exons. Lineage: Eukaryota; Metazoa; Chordata; Amphibia; Anura; Hylidae.
UGUAUGUUUUCAAUGAGAUGCUGCUGCUCUGUGCACAAUACGGAAGACACAGUGUGUGGUAGUAUUAUUUUUAGAGGGCCUGAUGUUUGGCAGUAUAAUAUACAGGGUACACAGGGUUUGGCAGUAUUAUAUUUAGGAAGCACAGUCUCUUGAAGGGUUAUAAUGAUUGUUGUCUUUAUACAGAGGAUGAGGAUCGGCUGGCAAAGUGAGGAACCAAUGAUGUCCAGGCGUCGAACUUAACAGAGAAAGAUGGAGCUGAAAGAAGACCUGGCGUCUGGACCAGAUGAAGAAGAAAAGGAAAGACAACAGAGAAGACGUCUCCUGAUGGGGGAUAUGUUUCUAGUUGUGGGGGUUUGACGGCUGGGACCCCCGCGAUCUUUUGCAGUGUCCCGAUGUUCUGAAGAUUUGGUUUACAUGCCUCCUCUAUGCACUGUCUAUGGGAGAGCUGGAUAUACACGAGCUCUGUGUGAUGGUCAGAACCACUCUAUGCACAUAGCGGUGGUCGCUCCGUGUAUAAGGAGACCCAGGGCGCUGGGCAGGAGAUCAAGAGGUGCAGAAGGUGGAGUAGUUCUGACAUGGUAUAUAUUAUGCUUGCAGCAAGGGCAACUCUAAAACUGAAAGUAUAUCUGAGAAUAGCUGAUAAUGACUUUCCUUGCCAGUCCUUCCACUAAGCAUCAUCAUUCUGGAGUAGCUCCAGUUAAUAUGGCCAGAUAUACCAUGGCGAUAGCAGCUAAAUGUGCCUGAAACAGGACCUCCAUUUGUGCUGAUCUUGAGCUGAGAAGGAUGGAUUUUGUUUACAUAUUUCUUCUCCAAUAACUAAGGAAUAUGUAUAGUUGCGGAGAGGGACCUUGCAUCUGUGGCUCAUUCUCCACUCACAGCUGUGACAUGGACUCAGUGGAGGUGUCAAAAGCUAGACCACAGGCCGUGCCACCAGAGAAGACAACACUGGAUCUCUAGCCCUUUUUGACACCAGUGAUGUCUCCCCACGAGCUCUUUCAGCCAAAUUCCAAUUGUA